UAAUAACAAAUAAGUUAUUAACAAAUCGGGGGAGGGGGGAAUUGUUUUUUAGUUGGAUUAUAUAUAGUUAAUGGGCAGUUAGCUUACAGAUUUUAAUAUUUCAAUGCAGGUUGGAUAUAGGCACAUUGAUUGUGCUUAAGUUACGACAAUGAGAAGGAGGUGUACUGAUCACAUGCCAGAAGACAUACCAAAGGCAUUAGAUAAAACCUUGCAGGAGUUGCAACUUGACUAUGUGGAUCUGUAUCUAAUCCACUGGCCAGUUAGCAUGGGCAGCGACUGUAUCGGAAGCGACUGUAUCGGAGGCUAUCGGCUCUGGGAGCCAGCGGAGGGAGCGUGGCAGAGACGUUAAAUGGUUACGUCCACAACGGCAAUUCUGUCCAUAAAGCAACUCUCGAAAAGUGCAUUAAGGAGCUCCGCAAGUACGGCAGGUUUCAACAUGCCCUCCAGAUUAAUGUGACAAUAUAUGAUUGGGAUAUAAUUGGGAAAAGCGCUGUUCUUGGUUCGGUGACCGUUCAAGUUGAAAGUGAAGGUCAAACUGGUGCACUGGUGCAGUAUGGCAUACAUUGGAUAGCACGUCAGGGCAGGUUUGUCUAGACAUUAGAACAAUAAAACUGUCCGCAAAUUCUCUCAGGUAGCUUUUUGUUGUACUUUUUUUAAAAAUGUUUUGCGUUUAAUUAUAUUGGUUGACUCAUCAAUCUCUCCUUCUCUCUCUAAAUAUAGACACACACAUAUGUAAUCCCAAAUUGAACUGUUUUUGGUGUACAUGGCUUUGUACUUGUGCAGAGAAUGUACCCUCAUUUUGGAAAUUUUAUGUGUUUUGUAUCCUGGAAAUUGUUAUAGAACAUUUUUAUAUUGUUUGUA
Long non-coding RNA from Quercus lobata, 861 nucleotides. RefSeq lists it as uncharacterized. The record is from RefSeq and is a predicted model, not a curated record. NCBI's taxonomy places the organism in Eukaryota, Viridiplantae, Streptophyta, Magnoliopsida, Fagales, Fagaceae. The transcript has 5 exons.